GACGAACGCUGGCGGCGUGCUUAACACAUGCAAGUCGAACGGAAAGGCCCUGCUUUUGUGGGGUGCUCGAGUGGCGAACGGGUGAGUAACACGUGAGUAACCUGCCCUUGACUUUGGGAUAACUUCAGGAAACUGGGGCUAAUACCGGAUAGGAGCUCCUGCUGCAUGGUGGGGGUUGGAAAGUUUCGGCGGUUGGGGAUGGACUCGCGGCUUAUCAGCUUGUUGGUGGGGUAGUGGCUUACCAAGGCUUUGACGGGUAGCCGGCCUGAGAGGGUGACCGGCCACAUUGGGACUGAGAUACGGUCCAGACUCCUACGGGAGGCAGCAGUGGGGAAUAUUGCACAAUGGGCGGAAGCCUGAUGCAGCAACGCCGCGUGCGGGAUGACGGCCUUCGGGUUGUAAACCGCUUUCGCUUGUGACGAAGCGUGAGUGACGGUAAUGGGUAAAGAAGCACCGGCUAACUACGUG
This 468-nucleotide ribosomal RNA is filed under the name uncultured bacterium. Its description in RNAcentral is "partial 16S ribosomal RNA". It matches the Rfam family "Bacterial small subunit ribosomal RNA", at positions 28 to 507 of the family's 1533-position model. The record is from RNAcentral.